This 22895-nucleotide long non-coding RNA is filed under the name Nicotiana benthamiana. Its description in RNAcentral is "long non-coding RNA (NBEN_LNC024785)". The record is from RNAcentral. Lineage: Eukaryota; Viridiplantae; Streptophyta; Magnoliopsida; Solanales; Solanaceae.
AGUACUGUAUAUUCAAUAUAAGAAAGAAAGACUGAAAUAAAUAACACUAAGGAUAGUAAGGAUAAAGGCAGGGUUUGGAACGCCGUACAACUACCUUGCUAUCACCGAAAAUACUCAGAAGCUGCUGAAAGCUCUCGCUCUGAUGCUCUGGCGUCUGGAUCUACAGAUUAGGUGGAGUAACAUGAGUAUGACAACUCUAACCAAAGUAAAUAAGUUCUGAGUGUAGUGACGAGCAUUUAAAUCAUAUACAUAACAUAAAAUCUCAACGGAAAUAUAAAAGUGAAAUUCAUAGUUAAAUUUCCAAACAGCUCGUAAAAACUUCAGUUUCAAUGAAAGUUAUUUAAUACAUUUGUUCAUCACAUCUUCAAUAGAGGCCCAGUAUAAAAGACGAGUGAAACCGUAAUUUUAUAAACAAUUCCCUCGGGAAAAGCAUCACUCAUAUAUAUAUAUAUAGCCCCUGGAGCAGCCUCUCAGUCACUUGUGACUCAGCUCUCGUCAACCAGCACUCUCACUCAACACUCCCUCAAGAGAUAUAUCAUAAUUAAUAACCGUUACAGUGUGCAGCUUGAUCCAUAAAUAUAUAGUUGACUAGGCUCACUAGGGGUGUACAGACACCGGAGGGGCUCCUACAGCCCAAGCAAUAUAUCAUUGCGGCAUAUAGCCCCGAUCCAACAUAUUGUUGUGGUGUAUAGCCCGAUCCUUAUAAAUAUCAUAUCCCGAUCCAUAUAUAUAUAUAUAUAUAUAUAUAUAUAUAUAUAUAAUCAUCACCAUCCAGCCCUUGGCCCCUCUAAAUCACCAAUCUCACAGCCGCUCGGGCAUUUCAGUGAAAAAUCAGGAAAUCUCAGCCUAAAUAACUUUCAAAUAUUUAAAACAGAGUAAUGAAACUAAAUAAAAAAUAAACAAAUAAAAAUCAUGACUGAGUAUAUUUUUAACAUUCUGAGGGAAGUUGUAAAAUACCCCUGAGGGCCCAAACAGAUUGGCGCAAGGCCACAAAUAUGGCAUUUAGCCCAAAUUGACAGAUUCAUUUCUAAAACACAUAGAUAUCACAUAGAGUUUAUCAAAAUAGACAAUUCUAUAGUUGUCACGAGAUGAACCAAGUCACAAUCCCUACGGAUGCACGCCCACACGCCCGUCACCUAGCAUGUGUGUCACCUUAUUUACCAAAACAAUACAAAAAUUUGGGGUUUCAUAUCUUCAUGUCUAGAUUUACAAUCGUUACUUACCUCGAAUCGGAUGAAAAUCUAUUCCGCGGUGCCUUUGCCACUCGACUUGGCCUCAAAUCUCCCUGAAUCUAUCCAAAAUCAGAAUCAUAACAUCAAUAUAUGCUAAGAGAACAAAUCCCAUGCGAAAAUAAUUAAAUUGCAUAAAAAAUCCUGAAAUUGGUCAAAUCCGACCCCCAGUCCCGCGUCUCAAAAUCCAAUAAAAAUCACAUCACAUAAUCCUUAUCCUCCUACGAGUCCAUACAUAACCAAGAACAUGCCUCAAACCCGCUAUUUAAACUCUCCAAUUUUUAACCUUUAAAUUCCAAUAAUUUUAUGUCUAAUCAAUUAGAAAUCACCACAGAAUUGUGUAUGAUUUCAAACACCUUACCUUCAAGUGAUACCCCCCAAUCGCUCUUCAAUUCCUCUCAAAAAGCUCUAAGUCUGUCUCAAAAAUGGUGGAAAUGGGUAAAAAUUCGCGAAGAGAAGCUUUUAUACUUUCUCACCCGGGGAUUUCGCACCUGUGGUCCUUUUCUCGCUCCUGCGGUACCGCUUUUGCAGUCUAACAAACCGCAUUUGCAGUUUUCACUUAUUUCCCUUAAACAGCACAUGCGCCUCCCUACCUGCACCUCCGGUUACGCAGGAGCGUUCCAUCUUCUGCACCUACGACUUCUGGACUUCUCUCUUAUAGCCGCAUAUGUGGCUGCUCUAGCGCUCAUGCGGUCUCGCACCAGCAGUCUCCAAUCCGCAGGUGUAUUUACGACAGGUGCAACAGCUGAAGCUGCUCAAUUUCAAAAUUAAACUUUCCGAAAAUCUUCCGAAUUUCUCCUGAGGUUUCUGGGACCUCAACCACAAAUACGAACAAGUCACAUAUCAUCAUUCAAACUCACACCAAACCUCGGAACACCCAAAACAACAUUGAAACAUCAAAAUACCCUCGAAUUCAAGCCUAAGAAUUCAAAAAAACUUCCGAAUUUUGCAAACGAUCAAAAUAUCAAACCUCAUCCAAAAGACCUAAAAGUUUUCACACACAUCACAAAUGACAUAGCGAACCUACUCUACUUUACGGAAUUCCAUUCUGACCCAUAUAUCAAAAUUUCCAGUACCAACCAGAAAACGCCAAAAAUCCAAUUUUUCCAAUUCAAGCCUAUAUCUACCACACACCUCCAAAUUACAUUCCGAUCACGCUCUUAAGUCCAAAUCACCUAACGAAGCUAUCCAAACCAUAAAGCCACAUUCCGAGAUUAUUUACCCACAAGUCAACUUCCAGUUGGCUUUUCCAACUAAAUGGCCAACUUAAGAGACUAAGUGUCUCAUAUCACCCCAACACUACUCCAAACCCAAACCAACCAACACGAUAUGAUAAAAGUUUUCUAAACAAUACAUAAAGAAGCAUAAAUGGGGAAAACGAGGAUAUAACUCAUGAAACAACUAGCUGGGUCGUUACAUCAUCCCCCUCUUAAACAAACGUUCGACCUCGAAAGAGUUAAGAAAUAUACUGAAGCCCCAAAUAGGUGAGGAUAUCCACUCCGCAUCUCCCACUCGGUCUCCCAGGUAGCCUCCUCUACGGGCUAACCUCUCCACUGCACUUGCACUGAAGGUAUAUCCUUUGAUCUCAAAUUUCGAACCCGACGCCCCAAAAUAGCCAUUGGCUCCACAUCAUAAGUUAAAUCACCGUCUAAUUAAACCGUGCUGACAUCCAAAACAUGAGACUUACUACCAAUAUACUUCUGGAGUAUAAAAACAUGGAAUACCGGGCGCACACUCGACAAGCUAGAUGAGAAUGCCAGUUCAUAAGCCAGAUCACCAAUCCUCCGAAGUACCUCAAAAGGCCUAAUGAAUCGGGGACUCAGUUUACCCUUCUUCCCAAAUCUCAUAACACCCUUUCAUGGGUGAAACCUUUAGUAGAACCUUUUCCCCAACCAUGUGGGACACAUCACAAACCUUCCUAUCAGCAUAAUUUCUGUCUUGAUUGCGCUAUGUGAAGCCGCUCCGGCAUCACUUUCACCUUGUCCAGGUCAUCCUGCACCAAGUCUGUCCCAAAAUCUUAGCCUCGCCCGGCUCAAACCAACCAACUGGAGAUCUACAUCGUUUCCCAUAUAAAGUCUCAUAUGGAGCCAUCUGAAUACUCGACUGAUAAAUUUUGUUAUAUGCUAACCCUGCGAGCGACAUAAACUAAUCCAAUGAACCCCUAAAAUUAAUAAUACAAGUGUGCAACACGCCCUCUAAUAUUUGAAUAGUGCGCUUGGACUGCCCAUCCGUCUGAGGGUGAAAACCUGUGCUCAACUCAACCUGAGUACCCAACUCUCGCUAUACGACUCUCUCAAACUGCACGGUAAACUGAGUACCUCUAUCUAAUAUGAUGGAAACUAGAACCCUAUGUAGGCGAACAAUCUCUCAGAUGUAAAUCUCUACUAAUCGCUAUAAAUAAUAGAUAGUACACACAAGAAUAAAGUGCACGGACUUGGUCAGCCGAUCCAUAAUCACCCAAAUAGACAUGAACUUCCUCAAAGUCCGUGGAAGCCCAAUGAUAAAGUCUAUGGUGAUCCGCUCCCACUUCCAUUAUGGAAUAUCUAACAGCUAAAGUAAUCCACCCGGUCUUUGAUGCUCAUAUUUUACCUGCUGACAAUUGAGACACCGAGCUACAAAUCCCACAAUAUCCUUGUUCAUUAUCCUCCACCAGUAAUAUUGUCUCAAAUUUGGAUACAUCUUCGCAGUACCCAGAUGUAUGGAAUAAUGCGAGUUAUGAGCCCUUUCUAGCAUCAACUCCUGAAGUCCAUCCACAUUGGACACACAUAUCCGGCCAUGCAUCCUCAAUACCCCAUCAUCACCAAUAGUCACAUCUCUGGCAUCAUCGUGCUAAACUCUGUCCUUGAGGAUCAUCAUACCGGCGUUCUCUAGUGCGAUCAAACAAGGAAGACUAAGAAACUAUGCAAGCUAAGACCCGAUUGGGCUCCAAAAUAUCCAACCUCACAAACCGAUUGGCCAAGGCCUGAACAUCAACUGCAAGAGGUCUCUUCCCAAUAUGAAUAUACGCCAAACUACCCAUACUCACCGCCUACUUACUCAAAGCAUUGGUGACUAUAUAGGCCUUCCCCGGAUGAUAUAAGAUAAUGAUAUCAUAGUCCUUUAGCAGCUCCAACCAUCUUCGCUGCCUCAAAUUAAGAUCCUUCUUCUUGAACAAGUGUUGGAGGCUACGAUGAUCAGUAAACACCUCACAAGGCACACCAUACAAGUAAUGCCUCCAAAUCUUUAACGCAUGAACAAUGACAACCAACUAUGCAUCAAGAACAGGAUAGUUCUUCUCAUGGGGAUUCAACUAACAAGAAGCAUAAGCAAUCACUCUACCCUAUUGCAUCAACGCACACCCAAUACCAACUCUCGGAGCAUCACAAUACAUUGUAUAUGAAUCUAAAGCUAAAGGCAAGAUUAACACUAGAGUUGUGGUCAAUGCAGUCUUCAGCUUCUGAAAGCUUACCUCACACUCAUCCGACCACUGAAUAAAGCACCCUUUUGAGUCAAUUUGACCGAGGGUGAUGCAAUAGAUGAAAUCCCGAACAAACCGACGUUAAUAACACGCCAACACAAGAAAAUUGCGCAUCUCUAUGGCCGAGAACGAUUUGGGCCAACUAUGAACCACCUCUAUCUUCUUCGGAUCAACCUGAAUACCCUCUUUGGACACCACGUGUCCCAAGAAAGCCACUGAACUAAGCAAAAAUUCAUACUUUGAGAAAUUUGAAUAAAGAUUCUCCUCUCUUAACUGCUGAAAUACCACUCACAAAUUCUCCGCGUGCUCCUCCUGACUACGCGAGUACACCAAAAUAUAAUAAUGAAUACAAUGACAAACGAUUUGAGAUAAGGCCGAAACACGUUGUUUAUCAAAUGCAUGAAAGCUACUGGGGCAUUGGUCCGGCCAAAAGACAUAACAAGGAACUCAAUGACUAUAUCGGGCCCUGAAAGUCAUCUUAAGAAUAUCUGAGUCCCUAAUCUUCAAUUGGUGGUACCCCGACCGGAGAUCAACCUUGGAGAACACCCUCGCUUCUUGUAGCUGGUUGAAUAAGUCAUCAAUAUAAGGCAAAGGAUACUUUUUCUUGACUGUAACUUUUUUCAACUACCUAUAAUCAAUCCACAUCCUUAUCGUGCCAUCCUUCUUCUUCACAAAAGAACAGGCGCACCCCAAAGCGACACACUAGGCCUAAUAAAUCCAUUAUCAAGGAGUUCCUGAAACUACUCCUUCAAAAUCUUUAACCUCAGUCGAGGCCAUACGAUAUAGUGGAAUAAAAAUGGGCUGUAUCUGGCACCAUAUCAAUACCAAAAUCAAUAUCCAUGCUUGAGGGCAUGUACGACAGGUCUAUAAAAAACACAUUGGGAAAGUCCCUCACCACUGGAAUAAAAUCAAUAUUAGGGUCUUUGCACUGACAUCUCUCACAAAUGAUAAGUAUGAAAGAAAACCUUUGCCAACCAUUCGUUGGGACCUCAAAAAUGAAAUCACCCUACUAGGGACAAAAUCAGUCGAAUCUCGUCACUCAACCCGUGGCACUCCCGGCAUAGCCAAUGUUACUGUCUUAGCAUGACAGUCCAAUAUAGCCCGACACAAAGAUAGCCAAUCCAUGCCUAAUAUCACGUUAAAGUCCACCAUAUACAGCAACAAAAGGUCCACUCGGGUCUCCAAACACCCGAUAGUCACCACACACGACCAAUAUACGCGAUCCACAAUAAUAGUAUCGCCUAUCGGAGUAGAUACACGAACAAAGAAAACAAGAGACUCAUGGGGCGUAUCCAUAACGAGAAAAAUACGAUGACACAUAUGAAAAGGUGUAACCAGGAUCAAAUAACACAGAGGCAUCUCUAUGGCAAACUAAGACAAUACAUUAAUCAUCAUAUUUGAAGGAAUGUUGUCUUGUUUGGCUGGGAGGGCAAAUAAAUGGGCCUGACUGCCACCUAAUCGGCUUCCCCCUCUAGGGUGACCCCUAGCUAACUGACCCCCGCCCCUAGCUACCUAGGUGGGUGGUGAAGUAACUAGAGUUGAAGUCGAGGGCUAACUCAUCUGUUGAGAUAGAACCUUAUGAAGACGAGGAUACUGCCUCUUCUUACGUCCAAACCCUCCACACUCGUAAUAACUCCCUAGUGGAGGGAACGAGGAAUGACACAAGAUGACCUACAAAAUGGAAUAUUUUACUUAUAGAAUUUGACAUAAUAUAUGUGACUCGAACCGUGAUGAAGGCCCAAGAACUUCCCAAUCAUAUGGUCGAGAACCCGUUGGAUGAAGAGUAUGAACCAUUUGGAUCUUAUUUUAAUGAUAAAGAAGUAUUGAAUAUUGACAAGGUCGAGCAGGAUGAGAAGCCAAGUUGGAAAAUUCAUUGAUGGAGCAGCAAACAUGAAAGGUGUUGGAAUAGGGGCUGUGCUCAUUUCUAAAAUAGGGCAUCACUACCUUGUUACGGUCCAGCUUCGUUUCUAUUGUAGAAACAACAUGGCUGAGUACGAGGCAUGCAUUCUGGGAUUGUGGUUAGUUGUAGAUAUGGGAGUCAAGAAAGUCUUGGUUUUGGGAGAGCUAGAUCUUUUGGUACACCAGAUUUAGGGAGAAUGGGAGAAUCUGGAUUUAAAGCUCAUACCGUAUCGACAAUUUUUGCAUGAUAUUUGUCAACGAUUCCGAUCAAUAGAAUUCAUGCUUAUUCCAGGGUUCCACAAUGAGGUGGUUGAUGCCUUGGCUACCAUGGCAUCAAUGUUGCACCAUCCAGACAAAGCUUAUGUUGACCCUUUGCAUAUUCAAGUUCGUGAUCAGCAUGCCUACUGUAAUGUGGUGGAGGAAGAACUUGAUGGUGAACCAUGGUUCCAUAAUAUCUGAGAAUACAUUAGGAUGGGGGUAUUUCUGGUACAGGCCUCAUGUGAUCAAAAGAGAACAAUUCGAUAUUUGGCUAGCGGAUUUUCUUGAGUGGGGAAUUUUAUACAAAAGAACUACUGAUCUUGGACUGUUGAGGUGCAUAGAUACGAAACAAGCCAUGACUAUAAUGACCGAAGUGCAUUCCGAAGUUUGCGGACCGCAUAUAAGUGGGUAUGUUCUGGGAAAAAGAUCCUUCGAGCAAGAUAUAAUUGGCUCACCAUUGAACGACAUUGCAUCAGAUUUGUACACAAGUAUCAUCAAUGCCAGGUACAUGGUGAUUGAUUCAUUCCCUACCAUCUGCGUUGCAUACAAUUUCUGCACUUGGGCCUUUUGUUACUUGGGGCAUAGAUGUCAUCGGACCAUUUGAACCAGCGGAAUAAAAUGGGCACUGGUUCAUUAUGGUGGCCACUGAUUAUUUCACUAAGUGGGUUGAAGCUUUAACUUUCAAAUCCGUGACCAAGAAUACACUGGUUGACUUUGUUCACUCGAUUUGUCGGUUCGGAAUUCCAAUGGUAAUCAUCACAUAAAAUGGUGCUAAUCUUAACAGUAAUUUGAUGAAAAAGCUAUGUCAACAGUUCAAGAUACGCAUCGAAAAUCCACUCCGUAUCGCUCCAAGGAAAAUGGAGCGGUUGAGGCAGCCAACAAGAACAUAAAGAAAAUACUUCAGAAAAUUGUGCAAGGUUCUAGGCAAUGGCAUGAAAAUUCGCCCUUUGCUUUGCUGGGUUACCGCACUACUAUUCACACUUCACUAGGUACAACUCCUUAUUUGUUGGUAUAUGGAACUGAAGUAGUGAUACACGCGGAAGUUGAAAUUACAUCCCUUAAGAUUAACCGAAGCUGAAAUUGAUGAUGAUAAAAGGGGUCAAAACCUGUUUGGAGCAAUUAAAUUUGAUUAACGAGAAAAGACUGGCAGUAGUGUAUCGUGGUCAAUUGUAUCAAAAGAGAAUGGCGAGAGCAUACAACAAGAAGGUGCACCCCCGAAAAUUUGAAGUGGGUCAGCAAGUGUUGAAAUCCGUCCUUCCACAUCAUGCUAAAGCUAAAGGCAAGUUUGUCCCAAAAUGGUAGGGGUCGUUCAUUGUAACGAGAGUGUUGUCCAAUGGUGCUUUGUACUUAACAGAUAUAGAGGGAAAAUGUGUAGAUAUGGCUAUCAAUUCAGAUGCGGUUAAAAGAUAUUAUGUAUGACUUCUUUGAUUUGUUUAAUUGUUGUUUGUACUUGGCAUGUUUUGAAGAUUGCAAUAAUGAAGGAAUUUUAUUCUAUUAUCUAAAAACUUUAUCCUUUGUCACCGCUUUUGAGCCUUGUUUAUUUUCUUUCGUACACUUCUUUUGGAAUCAGAAACAGAGUUUAGAAAUACAAAUAUAGAAAAUAUAAAUAAAAAAAAGAGAAGCAAAAAGAAGAAAAAGAAAAAUGGAAAAUUAGAAAGGAAAAAGAAAAGAAAAGAAAAAAAAAGAAAAAAAAGGAAAAGUAACAAAAACAAAGCAAUUCCUAUGUCAUGAACUAUGUUUGACCUGAUUUCUUUUAAGGACACAUAGGCAGCCUCACGGUUCGGUCCCAUCAAAAUAAAAUUCAAAAGUCCCUGGACAAGGAAAUUGGGGUAGAAGUUGCGGUUCUGUAAAAAAUCUGAUUCCAAAAAUUGUAAUUAUGAACCCAGUUAAGCUGUUUCGAGCCUUUACGACAGACUUUCUUUCUAACCCUAUCCAAAAGCCUACAUUAUGAUCCAAAGAAAGACCUUCCGAUCCAUAUUUGAGGAAUUCGAAGUCAAGCGAGAUAGAUGUAUGAUUCACAUCAUGAGCAACACGUCGUUCCAAACAAGGAAAAGUAAAUGAGAGACUACUAUUUGGUGAAAAUCCUCACGGUACCAUAGGGAGAGAAAUUAAAAUAAGAGAGUUUUAUUGGUGAAAACUCUCACGGGCACUGUAAGGAAAUGGUGAGUGGAGAGAUAAAUGAAUGAGAGAAGUUUGUUGGUGAAUACCCUUCAGGGCGCCACAAUCCAAAUAAGGUUGACUUUGCAGAGAAAUUGGAUUACGGGAAACCCGGGCGUAAAGUAUGAAGACUGAAAGAUGAUUGGUGGAAUAGACUAGGCUGAUUAAUCCAAAAUGUAUGUCAUGAUCAUUGGUUCUAGUUGUUGACUCAGAUAAGUCUCUUUUCCUUUUCUUCCUCAAACAGUCAUCCUGUUUCGAAUUUUCUCCUUUAUCUCUAACUUUCGAAGUUAUUGCAUUUCAUUUUUUUGGGUUUACUUCUCUAAGGCUUAGUCAAUGUUAGCCUUUCUUUAAGAAAGUAAGAAAGGAUUUCAAAGCUUGAUACCAACUUUUAUGUUGCAUAAAGCAAAGUACGGCCAAAGCAAACCAGAAAUAGCACUACGCAAAAUGAAAAAUAAGGUGUUAAUGGAAAUUCAAGUGGUCGAGUGGUUUCAUGAAUUUCGGGAAAAAUACAGAGGUUCAAAUUGGAAGGACAGAAAUGUAAAAUAUCAAUUUGAGUGUAGAGCACUUGGGUCAUUCAGGGUCCUGUGGUUGAAGUUCAGUCAGAAGGUCAAACAAUUCUUUGCCAGUCAAAGGUGUGAGCAUAUGAUUUUUGCCCGGUUGAGAUGACUCCUACAUGAUUCUCAAGUUUAGGAUUUUUCCUUUUAAAUAUUUAUUUUUAGGAUUUAAUUGCGCGUGUCAUUGUUUCAUUAAUGCAUGCAUAAAAUCAUAAAAAAUAUACAGAAUUGCACAAACAUUUAGGAUUUAAUUUCAUAGUUUUGCUAGAUUAAUUGGUAAUUAGGGUUAUAUUUGCAAAUACAAAAAUCAUAAAAAUUAAGUAUUAUUUCCGGCAUUUUAAUUCUUUUGCAUUUUUGUGUUUAAUUUUUAUUUGUUGCAUUUUUAUUUAUUUUUGCACAAUGGGUAGUUAUUAGGUUGUUUUAGAUCAAUUAGAAUUUUUAAAAUACAAUUAGGAAUUAAAAAUAAAUAAGAAAACAAAAACAAUUGGAUUUUCCUAAUAAACCACCCAGGCUUGCCACAAUUGGGCCAAACCUGGGGGGCCCAAUCCAAUUAAACCCUAUAAAAAUGCCCCAUGUCCAGCCCAAUAGUUGGUCCCCGACCCAGUCCACAAGAGAUGCCCAAAAUGAUACCGUUUUGGGGCAAUUCAUCUUAACCAUUGAUCGUAGGCCAUCUAACAGUCCUGAAACUACCCCCAAGUCCAUAUAUAUGUCCAAACCCCCUUUGUACACUCAGAAACCAACGAAACUUCUUCUUCGUACAUGUAACGCUGGUGUAUCACCACCUCGUCACCACCAUAAGACCACCAUCUACCACCCAUCAACAACCCUGACGCCGCCGCCGGAAAUCGCCUAACGGCGGCCGGUAACCAAACGGCCUCAGAAUUACACCACCAGACCACCUCGACCUCCUCUUUCCUUUCCCACCGUAAGUUUCUUUCAAUCAAUCCUCAAACUCUUCGAAUAUUUGACAGAAGGUCUACCGUCACCACCAUCUCCGGCAACCCAACCCUGAACCAACCCAAAAUAACACCCCUGAACCACCUCCCCUCCCUCCUUCGAAUCCUAUCAGAUCGUCUCAAAUAUCAAAUCGAAAUUAACCCUAAAACUCACCAGAACCCCGUGAAAUUGGUCCUAGGUCACCGUCUCCUAUCCAUAUGCACAACCCUACCACCCACAACCCUCAAAUACAACUGGGCACAAUGGAAAACCAAAUCUGAGACCUCAUCUUUAUCUCAAAAUCAACGAACCCUCCCCCUAACCCUUUUUCCCUUUUCAAUACUUAAGGCGAAAGCCUUAGAAGUUAAAAGACCUCUCAAAAGAGGUCAAAGAACCAUGGAACUGGAUGAUUUUCAAUUUAGUGUUACCAUGCCAAAAGAAAGCUAAGUCUUUGUGCGCUCGUUUUUUUGUGAUUUCCUAUUGAUUUUAUUUGGAUUUUGUCUUCAUUUGCUUGAGUUCAUCUAUUUAUCUUUGAAUUUAUAGGCCUUCUCUUGCUUAUUGUUGCUCGUUCUCUAUCUCUUCAUCUUCAGAACAUGUUGGAUAGUCAUUUUCAUCUAAAGGCACAUGUUCCUGAGUUUUUAUUUGUUGCAUUUGUGAUUUUGAACAAUUACUAUGUGUUCAUCCUUGAUUCCUUUUAUUUCCAAUCUUUUUAUAUAUAUAGCUAUUUGUUCAUCUUUGGAAACUUUGAGUAGUUGUCGCCAGUAGAAUCACAUACUUGUCGUAACUUUUCUUUAUUUACAGUUAUUAAGUUCCUUUUGCUUUAUUCGUUUAUUGCUAUAAUCUCGCGUGUUUUCUCUUCUAUUUGUUUUUUUUGCUUUGAGUAAUCAUGUGUUCAUCCUUGAUCUCCUUUCCUUUUAUUGUUGCAUGUUCAAAUUCAUUAGUUUAUUUUAUCAUCUCUGAGGUACCAUAAACAGUGAUUUCCAUCCAGAGUUACAUGUUCAUCCUUCUUUUCUUUUUCUAAUGCUUUAUAUUCCUGAUUAUCCAAUAGCUGUUAUAUGUUCGUCUUGUAAUCUUUUUUUAAUCUCCUCCAUUUUAUUUUGUUUGAAAUCCUGGUUUAGGUACUGUCAUCCAGAGUCACUCGCCAUGUUUCUCUUUUCUGUUUGAUUUUUGAUUUUCCUUAUUCCCACUUGUUUCAUCUGUUCAUCUUUGAAAUGUCCUGAAUAUCCAUCUCUUUGCUUGUGUCUAAGUCUGGAUUACUUGUCUUGAAUGGUCUGCUUAACAUUUGAACUCGUAGCCUAUUCUUGUUAACAUUGUUUGGAUUAUUUUAGUGCCCCGCACUUCUGGAAUUUGUGUUAAUUCAGUUUUGUAGUUUUGCCUGAGUUUGAAGGUUGCAUUGUUUAAGUCUUGACCCCUGGAAGUAUGUUUUUCCUUAGUUUGCAAUUAAGUUGGCCAUGGCUACCCUUUCAGAACUUGAUCCUAGUUGAUAAUCUUAAUGUAUGAAUUGAAAAUAAGUAAGUAGGGACAAUUUCUGACCAAAUGAAUGAGAAUCCAAAAUUAGAAACUCUUAGGCCGGUAAUUAGGGAAAGGGAGAGAGGUAUUAAGGGCAUUUGAAUAUAGGGAAUAAUGUAACAAACUCCUAGAACAAUCUAGUGAGGGGUCUUAGUAUAAUUUCUGCCUCAAAACUUGAGGCACAAGUCGGAAAACCAAGGACUAUUUAGGCAAAACUGAAAAUUUGAUAAGGGGAAAACAAAGAAAUUGAGGUUGCCCUAAGGCUUCAGUUAUAAAAGGGGACAAUCUGAUCAUUUCAAGGGGUUGGGAUUAUUUUCGAGCCGAUUUUCAAAAAAGGAUUAGGGAGUUUUCUUCAGGCUUUUAGAGAGUUAGAAUAGAAUACACCUUAGACUUUCAUACACUAUUCAGAAAAUUCUCUUCGAGUUGUCUCUUCUGAGUGAAUUUUCCUUAACAGUCAAUACAAGUUCUGGGAUGUUUUAGAAGAUAUAUUGUCACUAUUUUCCUCUCAAAUUUCCUGAGUUCCUGGGUUUUUGCUGGUUGUGUGGUUGAUGUGUUUGCGUGCUACUCUCUUAACCUUACUCAUAGGUUCCAUUUUUUGCUGAAAUUCCAGGUAUCCAUCUUCACUCAAAAUCUGAGAAGCAGUAGCUAUGUACGUUCGAGAUUAUUAAGAUGAUAAUGAAGACAAUAAUUUUUAUAUAUAUCAAUUUCAUAUCAUGAGUGUUGUAUACCUUUCAGUAGCCUUAAUUUUAAUAUUGUAAUGUAUAUAAACUUGUAAAAAUACUGGACUGCGCGUGGAUUCUAACUUCAGUUUGUUUAGAUUUUGUUAAGAUUAACAUAGCCAAAACCGUGAUUUUGCCUAAUAUCCAUGAAUGAAGAUGUAGUAAGGAAUCAUGAUUCUAUAUGAAUAUUCUCUGAAUGAUGAGUAUUUCAGAUUUUUUCUAAAUACUAGAAUUGAAAUCUAAAGGGGGGACAAUUAGCUGGAAUCUGAUCGAUAUCUAGGGGCAAACCUGUCAUUAAGAUAGAGUCAGUGUCGGUAGCAGUUCUUGCUUAGCGGUAUCAGGUCACCAAUCGGUGACAUAGUUUAGGAAUGAAUAUCCGUAACUCCCAUUCCAGUACUUAAACUGACAAAAUGGAAUAAAAAAUCAAGACCUGGCUCAAGGCUAACCCCUCCACACUCAGGGUCAGGAACGGGAAAAGGAGAAUGAGUAGGACAGGCUCGAGGUCAAUUCUUUCUUUUAGGAGAGAUCACACACUCAGGGUCAGAAACGGGAAAAGGAGAAUGAGUAGGACAGGCUCGAGGUCAAUUCUUUCUUUUAAGAGAGAUCCCACCCCCUUCUUUAGCGCUUUUUCGUUCUAUAUGACUUACUUCUCGUUCUCGGUGAAGGAAUCAGAGCUGUUAUAGAAUCAGCAUCUUACUCUUUAAUGGCAAGCUCAGCAACGAGAAGUUUUCCUCUGCUGGAAAGCAGUCCUUCACGGAUAUGGGAGCUUACUUAGCUGUUGCUGGUUUAGUAAGCUAAGAAUUUCCAUCCUUUAUGAUUAUGAAAAAGGAAUGGAUAGAGAGGAAGGCUCCAGGGUUUGUUUCUCUUGGUGUCAACAUAGGAAUGGAAACAGUUUGAAUGUAUGCCUUUUUCCCUUGUUGAAUCAGCCAAGUCAGUAGCCUUUCUUUUAUUCGGUAUUGCCUGUUGAUGCAAGGAAUAAGGGCUAGCUUGAUGCUAAGAAGAAGCUGGUGGAGGAAUAACGACAUCUAAAUCAUCUGCUGCACAGUAGUACGUAUUAGGCAAAUGGGAUUUUGCUUUCCUAGGCUGAGGAGCGUAGUCAGAGGUCUUUGGUGCCUGAAUGCUUGACUUAGAGCUUGAACUAGGGGCAAUCCAGCAACCAUUUCAACUGGAUACCAUCAAGAGGGCAAGAGAGGAGGAGCCGAUGAAAUUCUUUCGGAGUUCUUCCCCGCUGACGUCUAAGCUCUCAAGGACUCGGAUUAGUCAACAGGAAUGAAAUCUAAGAAAGCUGGUAGCUCGAGCGAGGAGCGGAGCCUAGCCCUAUAGCUAUAGGCUAUAUAAUAUUCUAUUUCCUCCGCUUUGAAUAGUUAGAAUCAAACUCAUUGCUCAUUCAUUAAGAGCUCUUGUCGGUAAAGUAGAUCUAGAUCGAGAGAGAGAAUUGGCUUCUCGAGAAUCCGCUGGAGUCAGAUCAGUAGAGGAGUUCACACCAGGACAUUCCGCUACGAGCCAUACCCAGCGGGAUACAUAUUGCCCAAAUGGAGCCUAAAAGAUGGGAUGGGUGAUCCAUAAGAUCAUUUGGCGAGGUUCAUCCCUCAGCGUGGGGAUCUUUCUGGAAAUAAAAACUUGUUUUGUUGAGGCAAUUUCCCUCGUCGCUUACCCGCAUUUCUCUUGGUAUACCCACCUGUGUGCCUCCUAAUUCCGUGAAGUCCUUGGAGCAUGUGCGAUUUAUUCAGGAUCCUUGUCAAGAAAGAAGUCAGUCCCUUAUUCUUUAUUUUAUGUUAAAAGGUCUGGACUCGAAGAGGGAGUCGAUUCACGUACUUCACCAUUUCCUGGGUCGUUAUCGCCUUUCCCCGGUUCAGGGUAUGGGUUCUUUCUCUAUUAAGAAAGUCCCGGUGUGAACUCCCCUACUGAUCUGACUCCAGCGGAUUCUCGAGAAGCCAAUUCUCUCUCUCGAUCUAGAUCUACUUUACCGACAAGAGCUCUUAAUGAAUGAGCAAUGAGUUUGAUUCUAACUAUUCAAAGCGGAGGAAAUAGAAUAUUAUAUAGCCUAUAGCUAUAGGGCUAGGCUCCGCUCCUCGCUCGAGCUACCAGCUUUCUUAGAUUUCAUUCCUGUUGACUAAUCCGAGUCCUUGAGAGCUUAGACGUCAGCGGGGAAGAACUCCGAAAGAAUUUCAUCGGCUCCUCCUCUCUUGCCCUCUUGAUGGUAUCCAGUUGAAAUGGUUGCUGGAUUGCCCCUAGUUCAAGCUCUAAGUCAAGCAUUCAGGCACCAAAGACCUCUGACUACGCUCCUCAGCCUAGGAAAGCAAAAUCCCAUUUGCCUAAUACGUACUACUGUGCAGCAGAUGAUUUAGCUGCCGUUAUUCCUCCACCAGCUUCUUCUUGGCAUCAAGCCAGCCCUUAUUCCUUGCAUCAACAGGCAAUCCCGCAUAAAAGAAAGGCUACUGACUUGGCUGAUUCAACAAGGGAAAAAGGCAUCCAUUCAAACUGCUCCCAUUCCUAUGUUGACACCAAGAGAAACAAACCCUGGAGCCUUCCUCUCUAUCCAUUCCUUUUUCAUAAUCAUAAAGGAUGGAAAUGCUUAGCUUACUAAACCAGCAACAGCGGAGUAAGCUCCCAUAUCCGUGAAGGACUGCUUUCCAGCAGAGGAAAACUUCUCGUUGCUUCUUUUUCAUAAUCAUAAAGGAUGGAAAUUCUUAGCUUACUAAACCAGCAACAGCUAAGUAAGCUCCCAUAUCCGUGAAGGACUGCUUUCCAGCAGAGGAAAACUUCUCGUUGCUGAGCUUGCCGUUAAAGAGUAAGAUGCUGAUUCUAUAGCAGCUCCGAUUCCUUCACCGAGAACGAGAAGGAAGUCUUAUAGAACGAACAAGCGCUAAGAAGGGGGUGGAAUCUCUACUAAAAGAAAGAAUUGACCUCGAGCAUGUCCUGCUCAUUCUCCUUUUCCCGUUCCUGACCCUGAGUGUGGAGCGGUUAGCCUUGAGCCAGGUCUUGAUUUUUUAUUCCAUUUUGUCAGUUUAAGUACUGGAUAUCGAUAGUUUAAGUCUAAAUUAUCGACUCUAGUUAAUUGUCCCCCUUUCCAAGUGUGAUUUCUAUCUUAUGUAUGGCCGUGCCUAAGGGCAUAUUGAUGUGAAAUCAUUAUCAUCCUCUUGUUUUAAAAUACCUUCAGUACACUUCAACAUGAUUAUUUGUAUAAUUUUGCGACGGUAAUAUAAUCAGUAAAAAAAGGGUUGCUAUAAAUUUCCUACAACAGACUCAUAGUCCAAUGUUUCUGGGGUUUAUCGAAAGGCCCAACUGUUAGCAAUUGUAACAUGAAGAAUAUACACUUCAUGUGUUGGCUAUUAAACGAAGCCCAAGUUACAUAACCUGCCAUGAAUGGGACUAGAAAUGUAAGUGUUAAAUCUCUCUAAAUGCAUCCCAUGUGUAUGAAUUUUAGGAUAUUUGUACAUACAAGCAUAAUAGAAAACUGUAGUAUGCUUUAUUUUGCCUUUAUAAAAUAAAGUGAGCCACACUAACUUAAUCAAACACUACGUGAGGCUCAUGAACUUAAUAAAAUACAUAGAAAGUUGGAAGUGUUGUUUAACGAAUUUCACAGCCUUCCACAAACUUCUAAACGCGUAGUUGCUAUAGGCGUGAAUUUAUUAAUAAAAUAUCUUCCUAAACUCGGGUGCGCAUUUAUGUAACCUAAAUCCAAGUCUCAACGAUGUUAAAAAGUAUCGAGAACCCGGGUGCAUUUAUGUGACGUGGUUCGAGGCGUGUUUUAAUAACGUUGUAAAUAUUCCUAAAAUGACAUCAGGCAGUUAAUAACUUUAAAAUUGUACUAUAGGUUGGAACAUGUAUAAAAAUAAGAUUCUUAGUCAUUUAUAAUAGUUUAAGCGACCGUGCUAGAACCACGGGAUCGAAGGGUUCCUAACACCUUCCCUCGGGUCAACAGAAUUUUUGGUUCGCACACUCCAUUUGGGCAGUUGAAAAAAUUUCCUCGAUUUGGGAUUCUAAAUAAACUGAUAACUUGGGACACCAAAAUCCAAACCUAUCCCAAGUGGAAACUCAUAAUAAAUAAAUGAUCACAUUUCGAAUGAUGUCACUUUAAUUGGAAAAAUUCCCUUGUACGUGUCAUCAUUCGGGGUAGCCGUAUGAAAAAGGAGGUGUGACAAAAGGCAUCUAAUUAGAACAAAGCAUGGCAAUAGGAAUGCCACUUUCAGAAAGAAUGCCGCAAACUAACCACCGCAUUUUCAAACUAGUAAAAAAAAUUUGAUUGAAAUAGGGGCAGGAAAUUUCGUUUGUUCCAGAGGAACCUUCCAUGAGGAAAGCACGUACCAGAUAUGUUCGGCCGUAAAUCUUCAGGGCCCUCCUGGAUAAUGGAAUUUAGUAUAAAAAAUUUCAGGGCCUUCAUGGAUAAUAAGAUUUAAUUUUAAAAAAGUCCUCAGGACCCUCCUCGAUAAUGAGACCUAGUUAAAUUUCAAGACCUUCAUAGAUAACAAGAUUUAUAAGUUCUACCUUUAGGAAAUAUAAUUUAGCUUUAAAGUGUUCACUCUUAAGAUGAGAUUUAAUUUGAAAUUUUCAGGACCCUCCUGGACAAUGAGAUUUAGCUUUUAAAUUCCUAGAGCACUUUUGGGUAACAUGAUUCGAGUAAUACUCACAGAUGUGCCCAGAUACUAAACUGGGGCGGAAAAUUUUCUUUUAUUUUGUCUGUGUCGUUGUAAUGGUAGGCGUUCACCUAGAGAACAAGGGAAUACAGUUUUGGAAAGUAGGCACCCACCUGGAACACAAGGGAAUACAACUUGAAUUUUGGCAAUCACUCACUUGGACAACAAGGGAAUACAGUUCAAGUUUUGGCAAUCAGGCACCCACCUGGAAAACAAGGGCAUAUAGUUCAAGUUUUGACACUCGGGCGCCCGCCUAGAAAACAAGGGAAUGCAGUUCAAGUUUUGGCAAUCGGGCGCCCUCUUGGAGAAUAAGGGAAUACAAUUCAGGUUUUGCCAGGCGUCCACCUGGAGAACAAGGGAAUAUAGUUCAAGUUUUGGAAAUUAGGCGUCCAUCUGAAAAAUAAGGGAAUAUAGCUCAAGUUUUGGCAAUCAGGCACCCACUUGGAGAACAAGGGAAUAGAGUUCAAGUUUUGAAAAUCAGGCACCUACCUAGUUAAUAAGGGAAUACAGUUUCAAGUUUGGGCAAUCAGGAGUCCACCUGGAUAACAAGGGAAUACAGUUCAAGUUUUGGCAAUUAGGCGCCCACCUGGAAAAUAAGGGAAUUCAUUUCCGAUUUUAUUUUGAGUCAGCAACAAAACAAGCUCGCGUUGAGAGUGUGAGUCAAUAAUUCGAGAUGCACAACAAAACUGCAGAAGCGACAAGAUCAAGUCUGAAGUUGUGUAUUUAGGAUUCUUGUAAUCACUGAUCAUAGUUUAGCCUAGCUUCUUCUUAUUUUGUCUCGGUGUAUAAGAAGUUCAGCAAGCAGUAGUGGCAACGACAGUGAAAUCACUAUUUCUCGUUAGUCCCAUCUACCGAAACGUCCCGACUAUAUUGACCUGAUUUAUCUAUAGCUAAGGAUAUAUAGGUAACCUUGGAAGCAAGGUUCGAUUAGAUCUCCAAAAAAAUGCUUCCCACAGAGUAUUUCAACAGGCAAAAUCUCUCGUAUCCGCCCACUUUAUCUUUGCCUAAAAACACUUCGUGCUUCCUCGCAAAGAGGGGCAUCUGUGAGCACGUGAUUUUUACCCUAUGUGAAAUACUCCUACAAAUUAAAGAAAGGAAUUUUCAUAAUUUUUUUGCAAUUUUAUAGGAUUUUUGUAAGAUUUUUUAUUAAUUGUUUGUAUUUUUGUGCAUGUUUACUUUUAUUAAAAUCAUAAGAAAUACUAAAAAUAUCAUGCAUUGCUUUUAGAUUUUAUUUUAUAUUUUUAGGAGUAAUUAAUUAAAUUAAUUACUUUAUUAAAAAUGAAAAUACAAAAAAGGUUCAUUUUUGCAUUCUUAGCUUUUAAAUUUAGAUUAUUACUUUUAUCUUUUAAUCUAGGAUCAAUAAAUUUUAUAAAUAUAUAAUUUGAUAAUUAGUUUAAUUUUAUAACUUAGAUUAAAUUAGGGUUUAAUUUAGGAUUUUUAUUACUUAAAGAAAAGAAAAGCAAAAGCAAAAUAAAAAGGAUCAAAAAAAGAAAUAUAAAAGGGCUUAAAUUAAGUGUUGAAAUUGGGCUAGUUGCACCCGGCAUUUCCCCAAACCCAAGCCCAAACAAUUAAUUUACCCAAUCCAGCCCACCCCAUCUGAAGCUAAACGACACCAUCUCCAUGAUCAUUGAAUCCCAUCCGUUGAUUUCGUUUGAUCGAACGGAUGGAAACUAACCUUCCAUUUAGUAUACGACGUCCUAAACGGUCCAUCCCUCCCCCAAUUCAAACCCCCCCAUUCAGUCUCUACCCUAACCCAGAUAGAAUCCCUAGCCGCCCCCAAAUUGCCAAACCCCACCAGCCGACAGCAACACCCAAACCGCUCUAAACCGUCACCAUACAAUCACCAUCCACUCCUCUUUCAUAAUCCAUCACAAGUUUUUCCAAAAUUCUCACCAUUUGUCCCAAUUUCAAAUCUAAUCUCAAAGAAAUUGAAAACCUCUAAUUUGUCCCCCUUUCUGCGUUUCAAAUGGUUUGAAGGCUCGAUUUGAGUCGAAAUUUAUGUCAAUCGAUUGUUCUCAGUAAGAACAAUCGAUUAGCAUCAUUUUUGGCUCAUUUCAAGGCGCACCAAAUUUCAUGCAAAGUCAAAAAUGACUUGCCAAUCUUCGUCAAGCAUCAUCAUUCGUUGAUUCGCUUUGUUUGCUCAAAUGUUUCCGGCCAAAUUAGUAUACGUACAUUCCUUCCCUCUUUUUUUGUGUUUGUUUCUGUUCAUCUAUCUAUAGUUAAUCUGUUUGCUGUUGAUUAGUUCAAUCUUUAAAAAUAGGCUGAUAAGGUUAAUUUCAUGAUUUAGGAUUAAGAUUAUUUUCUUUUAUUCUGUUUGAUUUUCCGUCCUGGACGUAUUUAUUUAGUGUGGUCAGUAGUAUUGAAUUAUUUUUAACUUAUUAAAGUGUUUGGUUGAAUGGUUCAAUUAAUGUUCAGAUUUCUCUUUCUUUGUCUUUCUUCCUUUUCUUUUUUUUUCUCUUCUUUUUCUUUUGAUUAAUUAUCCAGUUGGCUUUUUAGGUCACAAUAUCUAGUUUGAUUUCGUUUAUUUCUCAUAUUUUUAUGUUGGGUCUAUUUUUAGUUUAUGGUUAUCUCUGGUUUGGACAGAAGAAGCCCAUUCGCAUGGGUUUGAGUCUUGGGUCAAUUUGACCCAUGAUUGAUUCGUUUAAGGUGUAAAUAAACGGUUGCCAGGGGGUACUUUGGGCGAUUUAGGUGUAGAGAAUAUUUUCUGUUAAGUAGGAAGCUUCUAGAGGAUAAGAGAAGACUUGCAUGCUAAGAAAUACAGGAUCUCAGAUAUUCUUUAAGGGACUAGGGGCUAAAAUAAAAGUGUUUGAGGGUUAAAAGUGACAUAAAAAAUCAAAGUUCUAUUGUCCUAAAGACCUCCUAUAAGAAGCUCAUUUUCCUGAUUUCUAGGGCAAUGUUUCAGGCCCUAAAACCCACCCCAAACAGUAGCUUUAUUGUUCCAUUAAGAUCUAAAAAAAUCUGAUUUGAAAGAAGAGAAGAACUUGAGUAAUUUCUUGGGAGCUCUGGUUUUGUUAAAUCAAAACAUGGAUUAAAUUGGAACUGUAUUACUGCUAUCAUUGGUUGUUGAGUUACCACUUUAUUUCCUCUUGUUGUUCUCCUAUUAACAUCACCUUCCUCACUUUGUUCUUGUUCUAUAACCAGGUUUUCUUUUUGGACUUUGUGUGGCUAUUGGAGUGCAAACGUAUUCUUCUUUAAGUGAUAUACCUGUAAUAUUGGAGUUGAUGUGCAAAUGUUAAUGGAAGUUGAUACUCAAAUGUUUAAACUUCAAUUUCGUUUUACGUUUGAUUCUUUCAAGUUGUUUAGUGUUUUGGAAUCUUCUUAGUUCAUUAUUUUUGUUUAAGUAUUUCAGAUUUGCAUGAUAGUCAAUAGUUCUUAGUUGGGAAUUUCACAUAUAAAUGUUUAAGUUACUCCAUCUUUUCAUGUAUUGCUCAUAAUAGCUCCAUUUAGAUGUUUCAUUAGAGGAUAUUAGUUAGUAUCUCACACAUGUUUGAAAGAUGCAUCGUGUGGCUGCUGAAUCCCUUCAGUUUUAUGGUUUUAGAUUUCAACAUUGCUAAAUGAAUCAUGUAUUUGAUGUCAAUAUGGUUGCUGAGUAGUUUAAGGCAUGUUUUAAGCUUAUGACUCGUUAUUAAAGGCAUGUCAAAUGAAUUAGAAGUCUAUAAUCUAAUUAUUCAAGUAUGUUUAAUUUCCAGAAUUUUGUAUAGUUUUGUAAUUCAGAAGUGCAUAAAAGCAAAUCACCAGAUUACAAGAACCCCAACCAGCACACAUCGACAGAGUAAUAAUUAGUUUGAACAAGGUUUCGCAUGGCCUUAAUCCAUUAGCUAUUACUAAGUUAACAUACAAGCAUAUGUUAAUCAGAGAACAAUAUGUUGGGAUAGAGAAUCAUAUAGAAAGGUAAUAAAGUUGACGAUAUAGAAAUCAUGAAUUAAUUAGGAGUUUGUUAAGCGAUGAACACUUAAAAUAGGACAGAGCUCAUGAAAGUUGAGAAACCAAAUAGACAUAGGCCUAACAGACAUGCUGAAAACAAGAAACACAUAGGUCUAAUUUCAUGGAAGUAGACAUGCUGAUUCAGAGUAAUAAAUAUGAAGCAUAUAUGUCUAAUUACAUAUGAUUAAAUAUGUUGAUUAAGAUCAAUAAGCAUGAAGCACAUAUGUCUAACUACAACAUAUUGAAUGGUGGCAGAAGUGGAGAUAUACCAGUUAAGAGAUAGUAAACAGAAAGUUAAAAAUAUGAAGGAUCUAAUAGUGUAGCCUUGGCUUUCAACCAGCUAGACAAUGUAGCAAACAUAAGUAACAGAAAGGUUUGAAUGAGAGCAAUAGUUUUUGUGUGUGUGUGUGUGUGUGUUUUUUUUUUUUUGAGUGUUUGUGUAAGUCUAAAUCUAUUUUGAAAAUUAUAAUAAGAAGAUUUUUAUAGCAUGCAAUAGGGUAGGUCACAUAAGGUAAUGAAUCAAUCACAUAUACAUAAGGUAUGAAAAUCAAUCAGCAAUCAAUCAUGAAUAAAUUAAGAGGACAAAGUCAAAUAAGUACCACUUAAUUUAAGAAAAAAUCUCACACAUAAUCAAUCCAUAAUUAAGAGCAAGGUUAAUAAGGUAAGAAACAGUUUCCAAAAUCAAUUAGGAAACAUGACACAUAAUCAAGCCAAUAAUACAUAUACAUAGAUAAGGUAAGAACAAGUAAAACUUAAAUAAGGAAAUAUGGGUACUAAAUUCAAACCCUAAUUUAGGUAAGUAAAUAAAUUAACAAUUUAAUUGAUAGAGUUAAAGGUAACGAGCGAAAGACAACGGGAUAAAUAGUCAGAGAAUCAAAAUCCUAGGAUAUGUCAAAGAUAUAGAGAUGAAACAAAAAAAAAGGAAUCGGUCCAGAUAGUAAAGAAGAAAACCAUAAUUGAAAGCAUUUAAACGUCUAAGCAUUUUUACAGAAAACUCGUUAGAAAUAACAACCCUAGGAUUUAGAACAUAGUCAUGAGGAUAAGUCGAACAAACAAAAAAAUUAGGGUUAAACACCUAAAAAGUUACUAUUUUUCAGAAACAUAAAGGGAUUAAACCCUAACUUUAGAGAAGACGAAAAUUGGUUAAUAAUAAGAAAACACAUAAAGUUUUUAAAGAGAAAUAACAAAUAAACUUAAAAUUGUCUCACAUCUACAAGUACCUGAACAGAUUCGAGCAACAAGAGACUAGGGCUUUAAAAGAAUGACUGAGAUGAAAGAAAAUAUGGUUUGGAACCAUAGAUUCGAGCUAUAAACACGAAGAUAAUAGUACUCACAAAUGGAGAUGAUCAUAGGUAGGUCCGUAAAAAGGUUUUUGAAUGAAUCUGAGUUGAAUAUCCUUGAGUUUCCUCUAUAUAACAACAAAAUCGAACAACCAAAAGAGGUAUGAGAUCGGUAUGGGCCGGAAAUCACCAGAUGAACCCUUAUCUGGUCAAGAAUCGAAAGGUUUAAGGGUUUUUUCGAGUGAUGUCCCUCCAGGGUUUGAGAGUGUCUUACAGAGAAGAAAGGAGGAUAUGAUUUGGGGGCAGCGCAAUUGGAGAGAAUGGGUAGGGUUUGGG